GUUUAUCCCCCAUUAAAAGUGCAAACCCCAGGCUUCCUUUUUGUUUAAGGGUUGAAGGGGGAUCAGGAUACCCCCCUAGUUUUGACCGGUAACGGAUGCCAACUAGCGAUCCGCCGAAGGAGUUUCAUUUGCCUUGGUGGGGAGCUUCCCGGAAACGAAAGUCUUCCGGUUCCGGGGGAAGUAGGGUUGCAAAGCUGAAACUUAAAGGAAUUGACGGAAGGGCACCACCAGGAGUGGAGCCUGCGGCUUAAUUUGACUCAACACGGGGAAACUCACCCGGCCCGGACACUGUGAGGAUUGACAGAUUGAUAGCUUUUUCAUGAUUCAGUGGAUGGUGGUGCAUGGCCGUUCUUAGUUCGUGGAGUGAUUUGUCUGGUUUAUUCCGAUAACGAGCGAGACUCUAACCUACUAAAUAGCUGAUGCAUAUUUUACGUGUAUUCGGCUUCUUAGAGGGAUUUGCGGCUUUCAGCCGAAAGAAAUUGAGCAAUAACAGGUCUGUGAUGCCCUUAGAUGUCCGGGGUUGCACGCGCGCUACACUGGCAAAAUCAACGUGCUUGUCCUACCCCGAAAGGGGUGGGUAAACCAUUGAAAAUUUGCCGUGAUUGGGAUCGGAAAUUGCAAUUAUUUUCCGUGAACGAGGAAUUCCAAGUAAGUGCGAGUCAUCAGCUCGCGUUGAUUACGUCCCUGCCCUUUGUACACACCGCCCGUCGCUGCCCGGGACUGAGCCAUUUCGAGAAACUUGGAGACUGUUGAUCUAAUUUUUUUAAGUUACUUUGAUGGAAACCAAUUUAAUCGCAGUGGCUUGAACCGGGCAAAAGUCGUAACAAGGUAGCUGUAGGUGAACCUGCUGCUG
This 853-nucleotide ribosomal RNA is filed under the name Meloidogyne hapla. RNAcentral describes it as "bacterial SSU rRNA". It matches the Rfam family "Eukaryotic small subunit ribosomal RNA", at positions 934 to 1823 of the family's 1831-position model. The record is from RNAcentral. Lineage: Eukaryota; Metazoa; Nematoda; Chromadorea; Rhabditida; Meloidogynidae.